UACGGAGGGCGUAAGCGUUAAUCGGAAUUACUGGGCGUAAAGCGCGCGUAGGCGGCUAGAUAAGUCGGAUGUGAAAGCUCUGGGCUCAACCUGGGAACUGCAUACGAUACUGUCUGGCUAGAGUAUGAGAGAGGGAGGUAGAAUUCCACGUGUAGCGGUGAAAUGCGUAGAUAUGUGGAGGAAUAUCGGUGGCGAAGGCGGCCUCCUGGCUUAAUACUGACGCUGAGGUGCGAAAGCGUGGGGAGCAAACAGG
RNAcentral lists this ribosomal RNA (253 nucleotides) under uncultured bacterium. RNAcentral describes it as "partial 16S ribosomal RNA". It matches the Rfam family "Bacterial small subunit ribosomal RNA", at positions 524 to 776 of the family's 1533-position model. The record is from RNAcentral.